GAUGAACGCUGGCGGCAUGCCUAAGACAUGCAAGUCGAACGAAGUGGCCCAAUGAAGUGGAGUGCUUGCACAAAGCGGAUUUGGAUUCCCACUUAGUGGCAGACGGGUGAGUAACACGUGGGUAACCUGCCAAAGAGACUGGGAUAACAGUUAGAAAUGACUGCUAAUACCGGAUGAUUCAUAACUACACAAGUAGAUAUGCUAAAAGGAGCGUUUGCUUCACUCUUUGAUGGGCUUGCGUUGUAUUAGCUAGUUGGUGAGGUAAUGGCCCACCAAGGCAACGAUGCAUAUCCGGGCUGAGAGGCUGAACGGACACACUGGGACUGAGACACGGCCCAGACUCCUACGGGAGACAGCAGUGGGGAAUAUUGCACAAUGGGGGAAACCCUGAUGCAGCGACGCCGCGUGGAGGAAGAAGGUCUUCGGAUUGUAAAACUCCUGUUGUUGGGGAAGAUAAAUGACGGUACCCAACAAGGAAGUGACGGCU
RNAcentral lists this ribosomal RNA (487 nucleotides) under uncultured bacterium. RNAcentral describes it as "bacterial SSU rRNA". It matches the Rfam family "Bacterial small subunit ribosomal RNA", at positions 28 to 498 of the family's 1533-position model. The record is from RNAcentral.